CCUACGGGGUGCAGCAGUGGGGAAUAUUGCACAAUGGGGGAAACCCUGAUGCAGCGACGCCGCGUGAGUGAAGAAGUAUUUCGGCACGUAAAGCUCUAUCAGCAGGGAAGAAAGUGACGGUUCCUGACUAAGAAACCCCGGCUAACUACGUGCCAGCCGCCGCGGUAAUACGUAGGGGGCAAGCGUUAUCCGGAUUUACUGGGUGGAAAGGGAGCGUAGACGGCAGGGCAAGCCUGAAGUGAAAUCCCCUGGCUUAACCACGGAACUGCUUUGGAAACUGUGCAGCUGGAGUGCAGGAGGGGUAAGCGGAAUUCCUAGUGUAGCGGUGAAAUGCGUAGAUAUUAGGAGGAACACCAGUGGCGAAGGCGGCUUACUGGACUGUAACUGACGUUGAGGCUCGAAAGCGUGGGGAGCAAACAGGAUUAGAUACCCUAGUAGUC
This 440-nucleotide ribosomal RNA is filed under the name uncultured bacterium. RNAcentral's name for it is "partial 16S ribosomal RNA". It matches the Rfam family "Bacterial small subunit ribosomal RNA", at positions 338 to 795 of the family's 1533-position model. The record is from RNAcentral.